Molecule: unclassified non-coding RNA, 240 nt
Filed under: soil metagenome
Description: partial contains 5.8S ribosomal RNA, internal transcribed spacer 2, and large subunit ribosomal RNA
Source: RNAcentral
AACGCACGAGACCUGCGGACCUGCGGAGGGAUCAUUACCAAACGUGUGUGAUGUGCUGUGCAUGCAUGCUGUGCAAGUGUGUGUGUGCGUGUGUAUAUUAUACGAUUUUCAUUGUUGUAUAUUAUAUAUGCGCACGCACGCACGCCACGUGCUGCACACCUUCUCUUCAGGGCGGCGUCGGGGUGCGAACCACCCGGCCGCCCGUCGACAACCCUUGUGCAAUGUACCUUGCCCAUGGAC